This is a long non-coding RNA of Suricata suricatta (meerkat), 236 nucleotides long. RefSeq lists it as uncharacterized. The record is from RefSeq and is a predicted model, not a curated record. The transcript is spliced from 3 exons. Lineage: Eukaryota; Metazoa; Chordata; Mammalia; Carnivora; Herpestidae.
AUCUCACAUAACAUAAUGCAGUGUUAUUUAUGGACAACAUUCAACAAGAAAGGAAAAGGAUCUGCCAGUUGGAAUUUCAGUUUUCUUCAUUCUGUACACAGAAAAGUCCUGCGUGAUCUGGAGCCAGUUUGAAGGCUGACACCACACUUGCCGAAGAUCUGGAUAUAAAGACCAGCAGUUUACAAAGUAGAAUAUUUGUCAGUAUAAAUGUGGGCAAAGGGGCAUUUUUUUCAAUU